This is a long non-coding RNA of Equus caballus (horse), 3105 nucleotides long. Lineage: Eukaryota; Metazoa; Chordata; Mammalia; Perissodactyla; Equidae. The record is from Ensembl.
AGUAAUCUUAGCUUGCAAGUAGUUUGAGAUUCUGUAGUUAAAACAGAGUUGUAUUCGGAUUUGACAGUAUCUAAGUAAAUGUUCUGGCUUUUCUGUAUUUAGCAUAUGGCUUAAAACCUCAUGGUGAGGGCCCGGCCCGUGGCGAAGUGGUUAAAUUCAUGCGCUCAGCUUCCUCGGCCCAGGGAUUUGCUGGUUCGGAUCCUGGGCAUGGACCUAGCACCUCUCAUCAGGCCAUGUUGAGGCAGCAUCCCACAUAGCACAACCAGAAGGACCUACAACUACCAUAUACAACUAUGUACUGGGGGGCUUUGGCGAGAAGAAGAAGAAGAAGAAAAAAAAGAAGAUUGGCAACAGAUGUUAGCCCAGGUCUUUACGUGGUCAGGUGUGUGCCCAAUUGUGUCUUCAGCGGACAGUUCAGAAAAUGAAGAGAGUGCUCCCAAAGGCUGAGGUCAUGAGCUUGAAUCCAUUUAACGGCAAAGCUACACCCCAUACCCUCAACUGGCUGUCUUUCAAAGAGCUUCAGGUGGGCAUUAAGGGCUAUAGAAGAGAAUGUGGACAAAAUCAUGUAAAUACACCCUCUUUACCGGGGCAAACAGAAGACAAGCUUUUGUAGUACUACCAGGAGGUAGGACAAGCACAUGCUUUCCUAAUGCAGACAAGGAAAAGAAAAGUUACCUUGAAGUGAGAUUAACCAAGUGUGUGGAGUCUCCAGUUUAUAACCAUAUACUCAUGAUUUGGGAAAAUUAGGAGUUCCAGGGGCUGGGAUGAUACUUUUAACAUGUAUUAUCGCUCAACAAAUAGCAAAUGAAGGAUAAGCCACUCCAAUAUUAGAACUUUCAAGGACAAAUUCAUUUUUCUAGGGCUUUUAUUCCCAGCAAAAUUUAUAUAUUCAAGAGGCCUGGAAAACUAACUUACCUAUAAAAGUAACUUAAAUAGUUACAAAAACAGAGCUAAAGUCCAACUAUUAUAAAAUCCAAUUAUACUAAAGGAGUCAAACUCUCAAAACAUAACUUUUAUCACACGCUCCACUUCGGUGGCCCAGGGUUUCCCUAGCUCGGAUCCUGGGCGCAGACAUGGCACUGCUCAUUAGGCCAUGUUGAGGCGAUGUCCCACAUGCCACAACUAGAAGGACCCACAACUAAAAUAUACAACUAUGUACUGGGGGGAUUUGGGGGAAAGAAAGCAAUUAAAAACAACCGUAACUUUUAUAGGAUUUCUUUUGUUUAAGCUGUUUUGAUGGAGAACAGCUGACAUAUAUGCAAGAAUCCAUUAGCAUACACAUUCUAGGAUUACCAGACACUUUAGAGUUGAGAUUUUGGUUUAAAUAAAAUAAACAAAUGUGAACUUUCACAUAUCAGGUAAAAACAUUUAUUUUUUUCAUUCUUCAAAGAAAGUGUCGUCCCAGCUCCAGCUCCUCCCCCCUCCCCCAUACUUUGAAGUGCCCUCAUGACAGAGAAAGGGCUGUGCUUGGUAGCUAUCCACCUCUCUGACUGCCCCCAAGAAUGCACCCUAGGAAUUCUCUGACCUGUACUGUCACAGUAUGGAGAAAGUUGAGGUCGGGUUAUCUAUUAGUUUUGAUUUUGUUGUAUUUGUUUUUACAUAUUUUUAUUUAUAAUUUAGGGAUCAUUUUUUUUUUUUUUUACUGACAAAUGUAUUCUAGUAUCUUCCUACUAGAUUCACUCUUGAAAAUAUCCAAACUUGGGAAAAUAAUAGGCUAUUAGUAUUCUGAAUGGUUUCUCCUAAGAGUUGCUGCAUUUUGUAAACGUCAGCCAUGACAUAGGACAUUCCUAGGCUGUGAGGACUGGGGGUAGCUUGUUUCAGAGGGAUGAGCAUAGAGUUGGGAGGCACAUGGCCCUGGGUCUGGAUCUCAGCCGUCCUACUGACUAACUGUGUGAUCUUGAGUAAGCCCUUAGCUCCUUGGAACCAUAGUGUACCUUCUAUAAAAUGGAGUAGAAAGUACCUUUCUUGCAGUUAUUGUGAAGAUUAAAUGAAAUAAAUAACUGAAUACCAUGCCAGGAAUACAUCAAUUUAUUGUCCUAAGAUGUCACUGGAUCAUCCAGUCAUUGGAUCAUCAUCAGUUUAAAGAUGAAGACCCAGGACUCAGGAGACAUCAACCUGCCUAAGGUCACACAGGCAGGUGGUGCUGGGUCGAUCACACGAUCCCAGUCUCUAGACUUCAAACCCACAGAGGUUUUCCCUCCAUGUUGUGCAUUGUGCACUGACCCUCCAGUUUCCCACAGCAGCUGAUGAGCCGUGCCAUAACAUGGGUGGCACAGGUGGUCACCUGGGCUGGCCCUUUCCGCACUAUGGACUAUGCCCGUUCGCAGGGGUCAAUUUCACUACUUACUCUAAAUGAAAAACAGGUCCCAGCUUAUUCAUGUGGAGGGGGUCAUGUAUCCUCUGCAGUUAUUAUCUUCUAAAAUAGUAUCUUGGGAAGGGAGAAGAGAGCCAUCACAUACUGAAUACCUGUUGUGUGUCACCUGCUUUCCAUGUGCUCCCAUGUAACCUCCACAGUGUGCCUCAUUGUGCGAGUGAGGAGACCGGGCUCAGAAAAGUUAAGGAACCCGGUGAAGUUCGCACAGAGACAAGCACCAGGCCCAGAAUCAAACCUAGGUCCCUCUAACUCUAAAGGCAUGGUUCUUUUAGCUAUUUCAGACAAAGGCACAAGAUAAAUCACCAGGCCACCAGGGAAAAUAAAAACACACUGGCAUAAAAAAUGUAGGAAGCCCAUUACAAAGCUGAGAGAAACUAGCACCUCGUCACAGAUCUGUCAGGUUCAAACGCUAACUUUUUUUUCUUAUAAUUACAGUGAAAACCAGAGAGAGGUGGGUACACAGAAAGUUGGUUUGCACGUUUGCAGAACAUCCCUGGAAACCAUCACGUGCGAUGCACACAGGCACCUCUAUCGGCAGGACUCCUCUUUUUCUGAAGAAUAAUUAAUAAAUAUUUUCUUUUAGCAUAUAACAAACAGUUGAACCAAACAAUUAUGUAAACUGGAAAUGACCCAAAAUGCUAGCAGUUGGCAGCGGCACAGGGAAAUGCAUUGUCGUGCACAUGUGCAUUUUUGUCACUCCCGCCUCUCUGGUGAUCUGCACUUAAUAGGAA